RNAcentral lists this ribosomal RNA (468 nucleotides) under uncultured bacterium. Its description in RNAcentral is "partial 16S ribosomal RNA". It matches the Rfam family "Bacterial small subunit ribosomal RNA", at positions 28 to 507 of the family's 1533-position model. The record is from RNAcentral.
GACGAACGCUGGCGGCGUGCUUAACACAUGCAAGUCGAACGGAAAGGCCCUGCUUUUGUGGGGUGCUCGAGUGGCGAACGGGUGAGUAACACGUGAGUAACCUGCCCUUGACUUUGGGAUAACUUCAGGAAACUGGGGCUAAUACCGGAUAGGAGCUCCUGCUGCAUGGUGGGGGUUGGAAAGUUUCGGCGGUUGGGGAUGGACUCGCGGCUUAUCAGCCUGUUGGUGGGGUAGUGGCUUACCAAGGCUUUGACGGGUAGCCGGCCUGAGAGGGUGACCGGCCACAUUGGGACGGAGAUACGGCCCAGACUCCUACGGGAGGCAGCAGUGGGAAAUAUUGCACAAUGGGCGGAAGCCUGAUGCAGCAACGCCGCGUGCGGGAUGACGGCCUUCGGGUUGUAAACCGCUUUCGCCUGUGACGAAGCGUGAGUGACGGUAAUGGGUAAAGAAGCACCGGCUAACUACGUG